This 164-nucleotide ribosomal RNA is filed under the name Curcuma longa (turmeric). RNAcentral describes it as "5.8S ribosomal RNA". It matches the Rfam family "5.8S ribosomal RNA". Rfam says of the family: 5.8S ribosomal RNA (5.8S rRNA) is a component of the large subunit of the eukaryotic ribosome. It is transcribed by RNA polymerase I as part of the 45S precursor that also contains 18S and 28S rRNA. Functionally, it is thought that 5.8S rRNA may be involved in ribosome translocation. The record is from RNAcentral. Lineage: Eukaryota; Viridiplantae; Streptophyta; Magnoliopsida; Zingiberales; Zingiberaceae.
CAAAUGACUCUCGGCAAUGGAUAUCUCGGCUCUUGCAUCGAUGAAGAACGUAGUGAAAUGCGAUACUUGGUGUGAAUUGCAGAAUCUCAUGAACCAUUGAGUCUUUGAACGCAAGUUGUGCCCGAGGCCUUGUGGUCGAGGGCACGCCUGCUUGGGCGUCAUGA